Molecule: ribosomal RNA, 484 nt
Filed under: uncultured bacterium
Lineage: Bacteria
Description: partial 16S ribosomal RNA
Rfam family: Bacterial small subunit ribosomal RNA
Source: RNAcentral
GAUGAACGCUGGCGGCGUGCUUAACACAUGCAAGUCGAACGGUGAAGCAGGAGCUUGCUCUUGUGGAUCAGUGGCGAACGGGUGAGUAACACGUGAGCAACCUGCCCCUGACUCUGGGAUAAGCGCUGGAAACGGAGUCUAAUACUGGAUAUGUGAUGUGACCGCAUGGUCUGCAUCUGGAAAGAAGUUCGGUUGGGGAUGUGCUGGCGGCCUAUCGGCUUGUUGGUGAGGUAAUGGCUCACCAAGGCGUCGACGGGUAGCCGGCCUGGGAGGGUGACCGGCCACACUGGGACUGAGACACGGCCCAGACUCCUACGGGAGGCAGCAGGGGGGAAUAUUGCACAAUGGGCGGAAGCCUGAUGCAGCAACGCCGCGUGAGGGAUGACGGCCUUCGGGUUGUAAACCUCUUUUAGCAGGGAAGAAGCGAAAGUGACGGUACCCGCAGAAAAAGCACCGGCUAACUACGUGCCAGCCGCCGCCGUAA